CCUGGAAUUCGUCUGCCUGUUUGAGGCCUAAAAAAUCAACCCCCUUCUUCAAAAUGGUGUUGGGUUAGUGUUCACGUUGGUUGUGUUAGUGGAUGUAUUCAGUGUGGUUUAUCCUUCCGUGUCAGUGGAAUUGUACUCUGAGGUGCUAAAAUAAUCCGAGUCUAUUCUCACUCUAUUUUUGAUUGAGCGGUAUACUCGUCCAGACUCAAAAUCUGAGGUGUCCCUCAGAGAUUUUUGAUGUUUUUUGUCUUAAUUUUGUGUGAAAAAUCUAUCUAGGUUAUUUUUGAGUUUCACUUCCAAAUUCUCAAACUGUGGGUCACUUUUAAAUUUCUGUACCUCUUCUAUUGUAGUGUCUAACUCUUGUUGAAUAGUAG
Molecule: non-coding RNA, 374 nt
Organism: Pelobates cultripes (western spadefoot toad)
Lineage: Eukaryota; Metazoa; Chordata; Amphibia; Anura; Pelobatidae
Source: the annotation of a GenBank genome assembly